UGUUUGAUCCUGGCUCAGAACGAACGCUGGCGGCGUGGCUAAGACAUGCAAGUCGUACGGACCGCAGUAGCAAUAUUGCGGUUAGUGGCGAAAGGGUGAGUAAUGCAUGGGUAACGUACCCUGAACUCGGGGAUAACAGCGCCCGACAAGGGCUUUAGCGAAAGUGCUGCUAAUACCCGAUGAAGUCGCCGGGUCGCAUGAUUCGGUGACCAAAGGCGGGGACCGCAAGGCCUGCCGGUUUGGGAGCGGCCCAUGUCCUAUCAGCUAGUUGGUGAGGUAACGGCCCACCAAGGCGACGACGGGUAGCGGGACUGAGAGGUCGGCCCGCCACAUCGGGACUGAGACACUGCCCGGACACCUACGGGUGGCUGCAGUAAUCGAAUAUUGGGCAAUGGGCGCAAGCCUGACCCAGCGACGCCGCGUGCAGGAGGAAGCCCCUCGGGGUGUAAACUGCUGUCAGGGUUCAGCAAGCAAAGGGCGUGAACAGCGCCCGGCGUGAGCAGAUCCCAGAGGAAGCCUCGACUAACUCUGU
Molecule: ribosomal RNA, 532 nt
Filed under: uncultured bacterium
Lineage: Bacteria
Description: bacterial SSU rRNA
Rfam family: Bacterial small subunit ribosomal RNA
Source: RNAcentral